This 110-nucleotide small RNA is filed under the name Escherichia coli. Its description in RNAcentral is "partial RtT sRNA". It matches the Rfam family "RtT RNA", at positions 26 to 130 of the family's 130-position model. Rfam says of the family: This family represents a bacterial cis-regulatory element known as RtT RNA. The exact function of RtT is unknown although it is thought that it may be involved in changing the cellular response in relation to amino acid starvation. Lineage: Bacteria; Pseudomonadati; Pseudomonadota; Gammaproteobacteria; Enterobacterales; Enterobacteriaceae. The record is from RNAcentral.
GAACCUCCGGGGGCAGGGAGGUUCGACUCGAGCGAAGCGAGAGAACGUUGCGCCAGCAACGGCCCGCAGGGCGAGCCACGAAGUGGCGAGUAAUCCUCUAUCACCGACCA